GCCCUCUUAGCAUCCAUAAUUCUUGCAAAUCUUACAAAACCAAAAGAUAGACCUUUUCAAUUCCUAUUGUUAGGAAUAAACACGUCCAACACUUUGCCAUGGUACUUAGAGAUUUUCCAGAGUCCCUUCCAAUGAAAACAAGCGUGAAUAUUAGAAACAUAAAUAGAAAUCACCAUUUUCUCUAACGAUUUAGCCUAAUAAUAGUUAAAAAUAACUCCACGACAUCUGGUUAAAAGCACAAGUUAAAUUACCAAGAACAAGGUGCUUCAUUGGAGAACUUGAGCAAAAAUCAAUAUCGAUAGCAUACAUAAAAGAAUUAGAGAUUAAAUAUAAGAUGAAAUCAGCCAAGCCAAGGCGGCAAUGACUAAACCAAAAUAUUCAUUUGCUCCAUUCAAUUUCCUACAAUAAUCAGCAUUUGACUAAACUUUGCAACCUAUACAAGUUUUUUUGGGAUUGUGAUGAAAUAAGAACAAAAGUCCCGAAAAGAUACGUAAAACAUUUACUCAUCCAUGGCAACUGACUGAAAAAAUUUGGGUUGCCAUCUAGCUCAUAAUCAUAUACAAGGUCAAUCCCAAAUUCUAGUACAGAUAAAUUUGAAAGAACCCGCAGACUAAUACGAUCACCAGCUUCUAGUUCAUCACCCCUAAAGUUCCAACAAGUCGUCCAGUAUAAGGUAUUCUUGGUUUCAGGAAUUCCCAUGAAAUGUUUGGAGUAGGUCCACUGUGUACCUUUAGUCUCGUUCACAAUUUCAAGGCAUGGUAAAAAUCCAUACGUUUUAUCAUUCUUGGCAGAAAAAAUGAUAAUCGAAUUUAAGAAGCAACUUAUCUUCGACUAGAGUUUGGGGGG
RNAcentral lists this long non-coding RNA (846 nucleotides) under Gossypium barbadense (sea-island cotton). Its description in RNAcentral is "long non-coding RNA (GBAR_LNC023475)". The record is from RNAcentral. Lineage: Eukaryota; Viridiplantae; Streptophyta; Magnoliopsida; Malvales; Malvaceae.